Non-coding RNA from Doryrhamphus excisus (bluestripe pipefish), 5164 nucleotides. The record is from RefSeq and is a predicted model, not a curated record. NCBI's taxonomy places the organism in Eukaryota, Metazoa, Chordata, Actinopteri, Syngnathiformes, Syngnathidae.
GUUUCAUGUGAUUUCUGAGUUGGUAUAAAAUGUGUAAACUGGUUCAAAGUUUGUAAUAAAUAUGUUAAAAUCUAUAGUACAACUAGUUAAAAAUAUAAAAAGUGAGACAUCUUUUCAAAAAAAUAAUCGUUUCAGUGACAAGAGUGAGUACUCUUCUCGCAAUUGGACAAUCUUUGACGUUUUUUCUUCUCUGUGAAGCACAAGCUAGCAAUGGCAGAAACGAAGUUUGAUAAGCUCGUAAACAAGCUGUGUUUGUUCUAAAACGUGGAAAACAUGGGAAACGUUCGUCUUUUUACAUGUACGACAAAGAAAGCUUCCCCGUGUAAUUAUUGUCUGGCAGCAUACAGUCACCUGUUGUGAGGACGGCACAAAUAUUGGCGGUUGAUGAUCAGUAUGGGUAAGCAAAUGUUGGACAACAUCGACUACACAAGCUGAAUAUUCUGCAGUAUGUGUGAUGCCAUCGAGCUGUUGCAGCAUGCAACGGUGGGAAAAUGCACUUCACGAUGCACAACUGUGAAUCAAUGCGUCACAGUUGGUUGCGUUGGCAGACAGACCACACCUGACCACACCCAACUGGGGCGUUGGCUGUGAUCAGUGGUGCGACAAACGUGAACCUUUCAACCCGUAGAGGUCAGUGCAACAAAUUUGGACUUCGGAGGCACCCGUACAACGUAAGACUGUGCCAGAGGGUGAACAAUUCUCCAACUUGCUGAUACAUACCCACAAAGUAAUUGGGAUUGGUUAUCUGACCAUGCAAACACAUGCUUAGUGGGAGGGAGUCUAAUCCUAACAAAUACAAUAAGGGUUUUUACUCUGUUUGGGCCACAUGAAAAGAAAAAAGUGAGGAAAAAGUUGCAACAUUUUGAGAAUAAAGUCAUAUUGAACUGAGACGGUGGUCAUUUUACUGAAAUUAAGUCAUUAUCUGAAUCAUAAGUGACUGUCAAAAUUCCCACGCAACUUUCUCUAUAGACCUACCAUAGAUUAAAUCAUUAAAAAAAACAAGGUUUAAGUCCGUGUAGUUCUAUCUCAAGAAGCUGACCCAUCUAUCCUGACUACUUUACUGUUGCCGACAUUUUCAAAUUCUAACUUUUUUCUCGGUUUUUGUUUGUAAUUGAUUCAAAAUGGUCAGACGAAAAACCAAAACGUACAUACAGUACGUAUGUUUCCCAUAGGAAAAGAUGUAAAUCCAAUGUAAACAAUUUGUAAGGAAUAAUUACAGAUUUACAUUCAUAAAACAAUGUGAAAUAAUUCUAAAUAACGAAUGGAUGGAACUUAUUAUUAAUGCGGACUUCCCAUGGCAAAAUGGAAUUUCAAUUAAGUUUCUCACCUCCUUUCUCGAAUUCCUGCCACUCUCAACUUUAUUUGACCCCAUGGUAAGUUAUUUAGCCAUCACUCUCAAUAAAAAGUGCACCGACAUUGAGUCAACAACACGUAGGGUGCGGUACGAUACAGUACAGGGCAACAGGCCGCCGUUUGUUAUGCGCUACAUUGUACGAAAACUGAGGCAAAUUUUCAACCACUGUACACUUAAUGCUUCACUUAACGCUGCAUAUAUUCAAUUAACGGAUGUGUAUAGGUCUACAAAAGCAAAUAACAUUGGCAUUAGCAGCUUGGGUGCAUUUGAAGCAUGACGAGCAGGUAUCUAUUGUCUACCUCUGCAUGUACUUUAAAAUGUUGGUUCUAUUCCUGCUGUUUUGUAGAUAAAUGGCCAUGUGGUCAAAGACACACUACUCAUUACUAAUGUAUAAUUGAGUUUUCACAUUUCGGAAAUAACACUCUAUACAGAAGAAAUCCUAUAUAAAGAAAAUUCAUUUAUCUUGGUCAGGUCUGGAAGCAAUAAAAAGCGAUAAACGAGGGAUUGCUGUAUAUACAAAAGCCAUAAAAAUAAUUUCUCUAAAACUAUUUGCAAAACUGUACAAAAAAUUAGGAGACUUUCUUAUUAUUAUGUGUAGUAAUAUAAGUUGGCCAUUGCUUUACAAUGUGAGCGUUUCCAUUUUAAGAGUUAAUAGUAAUAACUAGUUUUAAUAUAACCAUACUGAAAGUGAAUUGUUUCCCAAUUUUUUAGCAACCUCUGGAGCCUUAACAUCGGCCUAUUUUGCCUCGUGAGCCAGCCGGCUAUGACUUUACCUGCCGAAACUGCCAAUCGGGGGCAUUGAUUGGAAGCAGGCGAUACUUGGAUAAAUGGAAUAUUUUUGUAGUUAUGGCAUAGGAAACAUGUUUACAACCUUCUAUUUCAUUUGAAAUGCAUUUAUGUAUUAUUAGAGCGCUCUAGAAAUUAAAUAACACCCCUGUGGUCACAUGGUACACUGGUGUUACCCAAUAUAGUAGAAAUAAUUACAGAAGACACGAAUAAAUGUGCUGGUGCAGUAAAUGUUUUCCAUGUAGAGGACAUGAAGUCGAUGGUUCAGAGUUGCGUUAUAGCUUGAUGUACCAGCAGUAUCUCAUGUUGUUAUUGUGAUGAUGCUAAUGAUUAUUAUUAUUCUGCCUGUUGUGCGAUAUUUGAAACCUGCAAUAAAAGCCUGUUGUCCUGGCUUGUGUGUCAGACCAAACAACCUAGAGACCAAUGUAGAAUAGUCACAAUUUGAAUGUGUCUUCUUAAUGACUUAUAUUUGUAUUUUAGUUCAUUUAGUUACUUAAGGUAGCCAUUUUUAUGCGGCAAAUUAUUAUACAUUUAGGCAAUUUGCUGAAUUAUGCACGUUUGGACUAAGAAUGAACCGUAUUCAACAACAGCAUGAUUUGUUAAUUAAUCUCUCUCUCUGGCCGCUAAGUCUUGUUUCUGGAAUGGCUGUGAAGGGAGUGGCUGUCUUGACCACAUGUGUGGCGGACAAAAGUUGAUGAUGCGGCAGUUGGUUAUGCUGGUGUAUAUGCUGCAUGCACAGAUCUUAGGGAUUCUGCAAGGAGGAGCCGAGAGUGAAUGCACUGACACCAGGAAGCACAAUCCCAGUUCUCUAUAGGGAUGUUAUACGACUUCAUGUCCCGCCUGCAGACGUCCUUGAAGCAGAGGAAGGGUCUUCCAGUGCAUCUGGUGCCUUGGGCUAGCUGAUUAUUCAUUAAAAACGGUGAUAGGGUGAAGCCGCAAAAUUCAUAGCAAGGUACGACUGUCACUGUGGUGUACUGUACUGUUACUGUACUGUUACAGGACAUUAUUCUGUGGUAAGGGCAUUUAUAUUACAUUUCUGAUUUUUAUAUGCAUUUAUUGGUGUAUAAAUUUGGGUGAAAUGUUAGACGACAGUAAAAACAACUUUAUUUUUUACAAAUUUAUGACUUUUUUCUUGAUAAUGUCACUUUACGCUCCUACAAUUACAACAUUUUUUCCCUUAAUGUCACAACUUUAUUUCUUUUUCAUAAUACAAUUACUUAAAUCUGAUCAUAUUAAUUUUUUUUUCAAACUACAGUAUAUUAUUGUAUUCUCAUAUAAUGUUGUAUUAUUAUUUUUUGUACUUUUCACUGUGGGUUUAAUAUUAUUACACCUGCCCACAGAUAAAAUAAAUCCACAUCCAACCAGGUCGCAAUAGCUAAUUCUCUCUCCACCUAAUUGCAUAAGAAGACUCCCUGCAAACAGCUACUAUACAUAAGAAGGACAUAUUAAAAAUGAAUCGUCUUUUCAAUUAUCAAAAACAAAAUGGUUUCAUCUUGUUAAGGCAGACAAUGUUUCUGUCCUCCAACUGCAUUGUCAAGCAGGAAAGAUGGCGGAAACCUCAUUGGAAAGCUCUAACGUUACAUCUAAUGCCCCGGGGCCCGCUUGAGAGGCUUGCAGGACAAACACAGUUUGAGAGAAACCAAAACACAUUUACGGAGUAUAUCACUCUAUUUAGCCCAGUCGGGAUGUUCAUGUCCUGCGGGUAUCAACUACUUUCUGGAUUUGUUUCCAAUUUCCCAUUUACACUUAACCCUAUUUGUGUCAUUUUGGGUUAUUAAUCUUGUGGCCUAUCUAUAAAAAACAAACAAAAACAAGUACUUAAAGCACUACUAUAAAAUGAGCCAGAACAGCUUCAAGGCUAAUGAUUAUAGUAACUCAGGGAACCAUUUUAAUGUUCUGCCAGUGAAGUGCAUGAUCAACAAAUGGCUUAAUUAAGCACAGGAAAGGGAGCCGUUACAUUGUUAGAGUAUUCGUUAUGACUUUUAAAACCAAUUGAGAGUUGCCUCCAUGCCUCUGAAAAACUACAGGUGGCUUUCUUUGUAUGGUGGACUAAAAAACGCAUUCAAUUCUUAUUUUUUAUUGACCACUAGGGGGCGGAAAGACUCCAAAACAAAGUCACAACAGUUAGCAUUUAGCUUAGCAAAGUAGUCAUGGCUGACAGGUUAGCAAACAGUUGCCUACUUACACAUCCAGUAGAAAGAGAGCAACACGGACAUCCCUUUGGUCUCCUUUUUCUGGCCACCUGUUGAACGCAAUUCCAAUAUUCACUGGCGUUUUAGCCCUUAUGCUUGUUGUAUUUAUCGCUUGCGAGAAAUGUAGCAUUCGUCAGCGCUAACUGCGUUCAAGAAAAUGAGUGAAAAACGCUCCAGAACUUGAAAGUUGGAGCUUCAUUCCCAGUAGCAAACCCAUAAACUGCGGUCAUAAAAUCCCAUGAUUUGAAGCCAUAACUUAAUGCAUCUUUACUCAUUCAGCAUGCUUUCAGGUUUUCCUUUCCAGCACAUUUAAUUCCUUAAUAAUGUGCUUUCAACCACAAAGAAAGACCUCUGUAAAUGUCAUAGUAGGAAGGAAAAUCUCCAGAAAACCGACAGAGGUUUGGCGUUAAUAACAAUAACACGGCUCCCGUCAUCUUUGUCUUUGUGAUGCAGUGACAAUGACCUACUUGCUGAAGGGUACAACCUAUGUGCACACACAAGAGGAUUUCCCCCAAUUCAAUCCAACUCAUCCCAGUGUGACAUGAGGAUUGUGUGUAAUGGGCGUAAAAAUUGGAGUUCAUCACACAGAGAUGAUGCAGACAGAGCAUGUUGUUUUUGUGUGUUCCAGCUUGUCGCCACAAUGCCAAUCCAACUGAAGACAGCCAUUCAGAUAAGAUGCAAUGGAAUUAUCUUUUAUUUUGCACUUUUUCUGCUUUCCCACCAUUCACACCUAGUACUUCUGUCGGAGCCUUAUCUUAUCAAUAACGAGACUAUUCUGUAACGUCAACACAGGAAACUCUGAGAAUGAAUUUGAAUACGUGUGCGUGAUAAG